Anas platyrhynchos (mallard) is the source of this 1060-nucleotide long non-coding RNA. RefSeq lists it as uncharacterized. NCBI's taxonomy places the organism in Eukaryota, Metazoa, Chordata, Aves, Anseriformes, Anatidae. The record is from RefSeq and is a predicted model, not a curated record.
UUGCAAUUGCCACUUAACCCAAAAUCAGGAUCUUUGGAACUCCUACAGGGUCUGGUAUAGGAGUAUUGGUAUAUAUUUCAUGAGUCUGUUCUAGGAAAGUACAUUCUGAAGUCUGUUGGACUCUAAUAGCUUUGAAAGAUAACUGUGAAAACAGUUAAGAAUUGUGAUAAAAAUACUAGAAAGAGCCAUCAGUUUGCUAGCAGGAUGGCAAUGCAACGGCAGUCUGAUUUUCUGAGCCUGGCUCACUUGCGUUCUUCCACGGGAAAUGCCAUGUACUAAAGCGGGCAAGGAGGAGGAAGAUUUACAAUGUGAAUAUUACAAUGUCACUGCUUUGAUGCUCCUCAAAAUAGAAAACUUCCCUUUGAGGACAAGAAGACAGCUUCACUUGAAUAAUGUAAAAUAUCAGUUUUUCUUCUUGAAUUGCGUUUUUGUUUGUUUGUUUUAACAUUUUUUUAAUUAUAUAAAUAAAAUCUGCAAGUCCUUAUAUAUCAAAAAUAUUUUAGCUAUUUUAGCUACUGGGAAAGUUGUGGUUAAAGAUGUGAAUUUUCUAGUAGCACAAUAAAGUAUGUUCUACAAAUGUGUAGAUCAGAAUGUGAUGGAUGUUUUAAAGCCUGCGACUAUGUGUGCUUCAGUGGAAUUAGGCAAAAUGCUGAAUACACCAUCAAGCAGAGCAAAGGGUUGAGACAUUGCCCAAGGAGAAAUCCAAGCCCCUGUUAGUUUCCAACUCUCUGUUAGAUUCAGGUUUUAGGCAUGAAAUUGCACAAGUGAAAACAAUUUUCCUAAGUGAACCCUAGUGCCCUGUACCAAGGAUUUUCUUCUGUAAUGAAUUCUUUAGCCUCAGAGCCUGGAAGCCUGUAACAAACAAAAUAAAACCACUGCGUUGUAAACAAAUAAUAAAAAAAUCUUGCACAUUGGAUACGAUGGAGAAUAUGCAAAUAUGGGAAAUAAACCAAGCAAAUAAAGGCAAGCAUCCUAUUAGUCUCUACCAAUCAUAAUAGGAUGUAACUGGGUAAUUGUCAGCAGAUUUUUUAGGAUAGCGACUGAAGAUCUAAGAGCUUAA